AACGAACGCUGGCGGCAUGCCUAACACAUGCAAGUCGAACGAGACCUUCGGGUCUAGUGGCGCACGGGUGCGUAACGCGUGGGAACCUGCCCUUAGGUUCGGAAUAACUCCCCGACAGGGGUGCUAAUACCGGAUAAUGUCUUCGGACCAAAGAUUUAUCGCCUUUGGAUGGGCCCGCGUUGGAUUAGCUAGUUGGUAGGGUAAAAGCCUACCAAGGCGACGAUCCAUAGCUGGUCUGAGAGGAUGAUCAGCCACACUGGGACUGAGACACGGCCCAGACUCCUACGGGAGGGAGCAGGGGGGAAGAUUGGACAAUGGGCGAAAGACGGAGGCAGCAAGGCCGCGUGAGUGAUGAAGGCGUGAGGGUUGUAAAGCUCUUUUACCCGGGAUGAUAAUGACAGUACCGGGAGAAUAAGCUCCGGCUAACUCCGU
RNAcentral lists this ribosomal RNA (432 nucleotides) under uncultured bacterium. RNAcentral's name for it is "partial 16S ribosomal RNA". It matches the Rfam family "Bacterial small subunit ribosomal RNA", at positions 29 to 506 of the family's 1533-position model. The record is from RNAcentral.